Molecule: long non-coding RNA, 1110 nt
Organism: Mastomys coucha (southern multimammate mouse)
Lineage: Eukaryota; Metazoa; Chordata; Mammalia; Rodentia; Muridae
Exons: 2
Source: RefSeq, a predicted model, not a curated record
CUCCCCCCAGGCCUCUCACCACCCCUAAAGCUGACCUAGGAGCAAUGCGCCCCGGGAGGCCCCGCACCCGAGCCAGCCCUGCUCACCAGGCCCUGUUUGAAGCCCUGGACAGACAGAUGUGAAAAAGAUGUGUUCCUACUGUCAAGAAACUGGUGUUCUAGAAGUUAGAAAACAAACAGAUAAGACAGGUAUGAACUAUCUGAAAGAUGCCUGACCAUACACAUUGUUUAUGUUCUAUACCCUGCUAGCUAUAACCUUUUAUUGCUAUGCUGAUUUUAAAAUGACCACGUCACGAACAUGACAUCCACACACUAGCCAAAAGUGCCAGAGUAAGGGGAGAGAAGGAAAACUUCUCAGGCUGUGCCUGGUAGCACUUGGGAGGCUAAGCAGAAGGGUUUGGAGUUGAAGGCCAGCCAGACUUACACAUUGAAUUUGAGACCAGCCUAGGACUAUAUCAAGAGUCCCUAACUUUUUCAAAAAAGAAAAAAGGAAAGGAACUUUUAGGUAAGCCUAUGCAAAUCUGUCAGCUGACAUUUGGGUGACAUGAUGACAGCGUGAGCAAAUAGCAGCUAAAGGCCAACAGUCGCAUCACUGCACAAAAUGGCAAAACGGAUACUGGAGAAACGAAGAGCAUCAGCCGUGGUUGCCUCUGUCUACUCAAACAUGUGGACACAUCAUGCUUCCCACAGAUGAGUGUACUUCCCAAGAGAGACAACUGAAAGUCCCCAAUCGUAUGACAUCCUGUUCAAAGUUCAAGACCUCCCUGAAGAUCUGCUGUUCAAUUUGUCACCCCCACUCAACACGCCCAAUAUAGAAUACAAAAAUGGGAACAAACUAAUCACUGUGUUUAUAAAGCCAUCCAGCUCAGGGGAUAGCUUUAUAACAUGGAUAGCUUUUCAGACAUGGAUCAGAAACACACAGCAUAACCUUGUGCCAGCAAUCCCAGGAAUUACAACUCAAGCUUAUUAACAUCAAGAAUCUACGCCUGAAAGCCUGAGGGUCUACAAGAAAAAUGUUUAAAAAGUUUUAAGUGAAAACCAAAGUGCAUUAUACACAAGCGUCCCUUCUUUGAUUAUUUGAGGUAAAAUAUUAAAUAUAAAUAAGAAACCC